GCCUCUGUAGGUCAUGGCAGACCACCCGAAAAAUAUUGGUUGCAACCAGGACAUGUUUCUUCAGGAGACGCGGGUUCAACUCCCACCGGAGGCA
Mycena galericulata is the source of this 94-nucleotide non-coding RNA. Lineage: Eukaryota; Fungi; Basidiomycota; Agaricomycetes; Agaricales; Mycenaceae. The record is from the annotation of a GenBank genome assembly.